Molecule: non-coding RNA, 2856 nt
Organism: Oryza sativa Japonica Group (Japanese rice)
Lineage: Eukaryota; Viridiplantae; Streptophyta; Magnoliopsida; Poales; Poaceae
Source: RefSeq, a predicted model, not a curated record
ACUGCUAAGUGUCCUCCCUCCCCUUCCCUUCUCCUAAAAGAAAAUCUCCUGUCUCAGUCUCCUCCGCUCCUUGCGCCAUUUCGCAGCUUGAACAGGGGAGGGGCGCGGGCGCCGAGCUCCAUCUGGCGAGCAGGGUAGGGGAGGGGAAGGGAUCCUGCUCAUGGACCCUGAGAUCUAGACGUCAACGUGCUUCCUGGAAAGAGAGAGGCUCAGGCAUGAGAGCAUACCUCUAAAAUAAUGUCCGUGCUUACCUAUGUGCUUGAUAACAUAGGCUCAUCCUGUAGCAGAUCUCAUUCUUUAAGUGAGGCUGAAACAGCCGAAAAUGCAAAAUCUGCAGACAUUGACAGGUGAAUUUUGCAAGAGACAAAAGCAGAGCAACACAUCCACAAGCUCUUACUUCUUGGUGCGGGAGAAUCAGGGAAGUCUACGAUAUUUAAACAGAUUAAGCUCCUUUUCCAAACUGGCUUUGAUGAGGCAGAACUUAGGAGCUACACAUCAGUUAUCCAUGCAAACGUCUAUCAGACAAUUAAAAUACUAUAUGAAGGAGCAAAAGAACUCUCACAAGUGGAAUCAGAUUCCUCAAAGUAUGUUAUAUCCCCAGAUAACCAGGUUUGUGCUUACUCUUUACUCAACAGUUAAAGCUAAAUCUGUGCAUAUGAACAUGUCUUGUUAAAUCUGGGAAUACAAACAUUUUGAUUUGCAACAUUUCUGUUGUAGUCAAGCUGCUCGGCUCUAUGUUUUAACCUGUUAAGACCUUGUAGACUGUGCUCGGCUCUAUUGUAGUCUUAUGUUUUACACGGUCAUUCUAUAAUGAAAACUUGAAAAAGAUAUCUAUUGAACCGUACAAUGUACUGAACAAAGUAGAAAAGAACAAUGAGAUUUUGUAACAUUUAUUCUUCCUUGUUUAUUUGAUUGCUUCAGACAAUUGUUGAUAUGCUAAAAAUAACUUGGUAUCAAAUGUGGGUGUUAUAAGAUUCAAUUUUUUUCUCAACCAGGUUAAAAAAACUAUACCUUUGUGCAUUUACCUUGUUCCGUUGCUUUGGAACUUUUAAGGAAAACUGACUUUUCUUAGACAUUGAAAGACAAAUAUCACCAGUUUCACACUGUACACCUUACCAACCAAUUUUGUUUCUAAGAUGUCAUUUACUUUGUCAUAUCAUCACGAAAUUGGAGAAAAACUAUCAGAUAUUGAUGGCAGGUUGGAUUAUCCACUGCUGAACAAAGAACUUGUACUCGAUGUAAAAAGGUUAUGGCAAGACCCAGCCAUUCAGGAAACUUACUUACGUGGAAGUAUUCUGCAACUUCCUGAUUGUGCACAAUACUUCAUGGAAAAUUUGGAUCGAUUAGCUGAAGCAGAUUAUGUGCCAACAAAGUUGGAGGGGCCUUUAUCCAUAGAACCAUCGAGGAAGGAAGGGGAAUUUUGGUGAGAAUAUCCGUCAAUUAAACAACUGAACCACCUUAUGAAAACUCAAUAACCAAAACACCCUUAGCUCCACCAAGAGAUAGCCAAUUCCCCUCCCAAGCCGAUACCGCCAAAAUCCUUAUUUGAUGAACCAUUUGAGCCGAUCCCAACAGACUUCAUGAUUUUACAAAAAAACACACCUCCUCUCCUUUAUGAACCCAUCAAAUAUAUACUAUGUUUUUCCCAAGUAUGUAAAUGCUCAGUUGUUGCCCAUUGAAUGGAGUGUACAUCAAUUAGUGAAGAUCGUGCCUCAAGACCACGACUCUGAUGAAUUAUGGAGUGCAAUACGUGGUGAUGAUUGUGUCGAGUAUGGAUAUGUUCACCCAGAGUGCCGUAGACAAUGACCUAAAGUUGAUAGUGUUUACUCUAUGGAAGUUCUCAGGACACCAGAUUUGACACUGUAACAUGGAUUUUUCGACAACAAAUGUGAAUGAUUUAUCCUCGAAGUGUAGAAAUAUCCAUGCUAUCAGAAAUAACUUCAAGUGCAAGUAAUAUUUGUGCCAAUAUUUAUGAGAGCUUUAACCAUUCUAUACCAUUAUGCCAUGGCAACAUUAAGGCUCCAUCUCCAGGUUAAGCUAUUGCAUUGUUGCUAGGAAUUAUCAGCAAACAAAUUAAGUGAUGGAGGGAGCUCCAUCUCCAGAUUGGCUACAAGAGGAAAUGCUCCGAGGUCAAGCUAUUGAUCCAAAACAAGCACUUCCGGCAGGCCCCCCAAAUUUGACGGGACAGCCCUGCAACUACACACAUACUAUAGGCUGCUAAUGGGAUAAGGAAACACGUUUGAGGUAACACGAAGGAAAUCAUCACUGAAACUAGGAAAAAUAAUCGGCAACCGAUGGCAGGCCAAGCUUGAUGCUCUAGAAUAGAGGGAACACAUUCUGUGCACAAAAGCUUCGCAUGCACACAAUUAACACACUUAUGUCUAUGAUAUUUGAGAAGAAAAUACAAAAGGUAAAGGCUGCCCUUUAUACCCAUACAGAGUUUAAAAGGAUUGUUAAGAAAUUUGAAGAGCUGUACAUCCGGAGCAGCAGGCCUGACUGUGUAGACCACGUGUUCAAAAUCUACAGAACAACGGCCCUAGACCAGAAACUUGUAAAGAAGACAUUCAAGUUGAUUGAUGAGAGCAUGAGAUGCUCCAGGGAAGGAACUUGAUUCAGAGCUGAGACUGGGUUGUUGUAAGUCACACAGGGAAGGUACGCAAUUAGGAUGACGAGAAGAACAGAGUUUCACAUUGUCAUAGCGUUAUCUGCUGUAAUUCUUUUACAUGUCGACCAUUGAUUGAUCAUAUUUUUGUUCUCUAAUUAGCCGUUGUGUAUAUUUUCCCUGAAUUAGAUUCUCUACCUGUUGUCUAUGUGCAUUAUCGUGAUUUGUUAAUUUGCAUAGCAGACUUUUCAUUA